RNAcentral lists this small RNA (107 nucleotides) under Marmota monax (woodchuck). Lineage: Eukaryota; Metazoa; Chordata; Mammalia; Rodentia; Sciuridae. The record is from RNAcentral.
GCCGGGCAUAGUAGUGCAUGCCUGUAAAUCCAGCAGCUUGGGAGGCUGAGGCAGGAGGAUAACAAGUUCAAAGCCAGCCUCAGCAACUUAGUGAGGCCCUGUCUCUA